CCUACGGGUGGCUGCAGUGAGGAAUAUUGGUCAAUGGACGCAAGUCUGAACCAGCCAUGCCGCGUGCAGGAAGAAGGCUCUAUGAAUUGUAAACCGCUUUUGUACGAAGGUAAACGCAGAUACGCGUAUCUGUAUGAAAGUAACGUACGAAAAAGCAUCGGCUAACUCCGUGUCAGCAGCCGCGGUAAUACGGAGGAUUCAAGCGUUAUCCGGAUUUAUUGGGUUUAAAGGGUUCGUAGGCGGUCGGAUAAGUUAGGGGUGAAAGCCCGAGGCUCAACUUCGGAAUUGCCUCUGAUACUGUUCGGCUAGAGAGUAGUUGCGGUAGGCGGAAUGUAUGGUGUAGCGGUGAAAUGCUUAGAGAUCAUACAGAACACCGAUUGCGAAGGCAGCUUACCAGGCUACUUCUGACGUUGAGGCACGAAAGCGUGGGGAGCAAACAGGAUUAGAUACCCGGGUAGUC
Molecule: ribosomal RNA, 460 nt
Filed under: uncultured bacterium
Lineage: Bacteria
Description: partial 16S ribosomal RNA
Rfam family: Bacterial small subunit ribosomal RNA
Source: RNAcentral